UGAAUACGAGACGCUACGGCGUCGAAGCAGUCUAUGUCAUACUUCCAAGAAAAGCUUGCACUGUCAUAAACAAAUAAUGCCUGUACCAUAACCGACACAGGUGGGUAGGUAGAGUAUACUAAGGGGCGCGAGAUAACUCUCUCUAAGGAACUCGGCAAAAUGACUCCGUAACUUCGGGAGAAGGAGUGCCUUAUUUAUAAGGUUGCAAUAACAAGAUCCAAGCAACUGUUUAUCAAAAACACAGGUCUCCGCUAAGUCGUAAGACGAUGUAUGGGGGCUGACGCCUGCCCAGUGCCAGAAGGUUAAAGAAGUUGGUUAGCAUUAGCGAAGCUGAUAACUGAAGCCCUGGUGAACGGCGGCCGUAACUAUAACGGUCCUAAGGUAGCGAAAUUCCUUGUCGGGUAAGUUCCGACCCGCACGAAAGGCGUAAUGAUUUGGAUACUGUCUCGGAGAGGGGCUCGGUGAAAUAGACUUGUCUGUGAAGAUGCGGACUACCUGCACCUGGACAGAAAGACCCUAUGAAGCUUUACUGUAACCUGAAAUUGAAAUUGGACUUUAUUUGCGCAGUAUAGGUGGGAGGCGUUGAGAAUAUUCUUGCGGGAAUAUUGGAGCCAUCAGUGAGAUACCACUCUUGUAAUGUUAGAUUUCUAACUUUGAAUCAUUAUCUGGUCAAAGAACAGUUUCAGGCGGGCAGUUUGACUGGGGCGGUCGCCUCCUAAAUGGUAACGGAGGCGCACAAAGGUUUCCUCUGAACGGGUAGAAAUCGUAUCUAGAGUGUAAAGGCAUAAGGAAGCUUGACUGUGAGACCUACAAGUCGAGCAGGGACGAAAGUCGGUCUUAGUGAUCUGACGGUGCUGAGUGGAAAGGCCGUCACUCAACGGAUAAAAGUUACUCUAAGGAUAACAGGCUGAUCUCCCCCAAGAGUUCACAUCGACGGGGAGGUUUGGCACCUCGAUGUCGGCUCAUCGCAUCCUGGGGCGGUAGUACGUCCCAAGGGUUGGGCUGUUCGCCCAUGAAAGCGGUACGCGAGCUGGGUUCAGAACGUCGUGAGACAGUUCGGUCCAUAUCCGGUGUAGGCGUUAGAAUAUUGAGAGGAGCCUUCUUUAGUACGAGAGGACCGAGAAGGACAUACCUCUGGUGUACCAGUUAUCGUGCCAACGGUAAACGCUGGGUAGCUAUGUAUGGAGAGGAUAACCGCUGAAAGCAUCUAAGUGGGAAGCCCACCUCAAGAUAAG
Molecule: ribosomal RNA, 1235 nt
Filed under: metagenome
Description: bacterial LSU rRNA
Rfam family: Bacterial large subunit ribosomal RNA
Source: RNAcentral